AGCUUGCUACUUUUGCCGGCGAGCGGCGGACGGGUGAGUAAUGCCUGGGGAUCUGCCCAGUCGAGGGGGAUAACAGUUGGAAACGACUGCUAAUACCGCAUACGCCCUACGGGGGAAAGGAGGGGACCUUCGGGCCUUUCGCGAUUGGAUGAACCCAGGUGGGAUUAGCUAGUUGGUGGGGUAAUGGCUCACCAAGGCGACGAUCCCUAGCUGGUCUGAGAGGAUGAUCUGCCACACUGGAACUGAGACACGGUCCAGACUCCUACGGGAGGCAGCAGUGGGGAAUAUUGCACAAUGGGGGAAACCCUGAUGCAGCCAUGCCGCGUGUGUGAAGAAGGCCUUCGGGUUGUAAAGCACUUUCAGCGAGGAGGAAAGGUUGGCGCCUAAUACGUGUCAACUGUGACGUUACUCGCAGAAGAAGCACCGGCUAACUCCGUGCCAGCAGCCGCGGUAAUACGGAGGGUGCAAGCGUUAAUCGGAAUUACUGGGCGUAAAGCGCACGCAGGCGGUUGGAUAAGUUAGAUGUGAAAGCCCCGGGCUCAACCUGGGAAUUGCAUUUAAAACUGUCCAGCUAG
This 575-nucleotide ribosomal RNA is filed under the name uncultured bacterium. RNAcentral describes it as "bacterial SSU rRNA". It matches the Rfam family "Bacterial small subunit ribosomal RNA", at positions 77 to 644 of the family's 1533-position model. The record is from RNAcentral.